AAUUAACAAACACUUAAAUUCAACUAAUUUCAGUAUAAGACAUUGCAACCAAGAAACCUUAGAAAUUCUCCAGUUCUUUUUAUUUUAAACACAGGAGUGAGAAAUUCAGAAUCUUUUUUCAGAAUGAAGAUGAUCAUUAUUUUUGUCGUCUUGAUGUUUUGUUA
This is a long non-coding RNA of Eurytemora carolleeae, 164 nucleotides long. RefSeq lists it as uncharacterized. The transcript has 3 exons. The record is from RefSeq and is a predicted model, not a curated record. Lineage: Eukaryota; Metazoa; Arthropoda; Copepoda; Calanoida; Temoridae.